ACUGCCCGCUUUCUUUCUUCCUAACACAUGCAAGUCGAACGGCAGCACAGUAAGAGCUUGCUCUUACGGGUGGCGAGUGGCGGACGGGUGAGGAAUACAUCGGAAUCUACUUUUUCGUGGGGGAUAACGUAGGGAAACUUACGCUAAUACCGCAUACGACCUACGGGUGAAAGCAGGGGAUCUUCGGACCUUGCGCGAUUGAAUGAGCCGAAGUCGGAUUAGCUAGUUGGCGGGGUAAAGGCCCACCAAGGCGACGAUCCGUAGCUGGUCUGAGAGGAUGAUCAGCCACACUGGAACUGAGACACGGUCCAGACUCCUACGGGAGGCAGCAGUGGGGAAUAUUGGACAAUGGGCGCAAGCCUGAUCCAGCCAUACCGCGUGGGUGAAGAAGGCCUUCGGGUUGUAAAGCCCUUUUGUUGGGAAAGAAAAGCAGCAGGUUAAUACCCCGCUGUUCUGACGGUACCCAAAGAAUAAGCACCGGCUAACUUCGUG
Molecule: ribosomal RNA, 492 nt
Filed under: uncultured bacterium
Lineage: Bacteria
Description: partial 16S ribosomal RNA
Rfam family: Bacterial small subunit ribosomal RNA
Source: RNAcentral